CUACCACUCACCACCUCCACCGGUGAAAUCUCCACCACCACCAUACUAUUACCACUCACCACCUCCUCCGGUGAAGUCUCCUCCACCACCAUACUACUAUCACUCUCCACCACCACCGGUGAAAUCUCCUCCUCCUUACUAUUAUCAUUCUCCACCUCCUCCGGUGAAAUCUCCUCCACCACCGUACUACUACCAUUCUCCACCUCCUCCAGUCAAGUCUCCACCACCACCGUACUACUAUCAUUCACCACCUCCUCCGGUGAAAUCUCCACCACCACCAUACUAUUACCACUCACCACCCCCACCUGUGAAAUCUCCUCCUCCACCAUACUACUAUCACUCACCUCCUCCUCCGGUGAAAUCUCCACCACCACCAUACUAUUACCAUUCACCACCCCCUCCAGUCAAAUCUCCUCCUCCACCAUACUACUACCACUCACCACCUCCUCCAGUGAAAUCUCCACCACCACCAUACUAUUACAACUCUCCACCACCACCGGUGAAAUCUCCUCCACCUCCAGUCUACAUCUACGCUUCUCCCCCACCUCCCACCCAUUACUAGGCUCAUCAAAUUCAACCAAAUUUCCCCAUUAUUCAAG
This 599-nucleotide long non-coding RNA is filed under the name Eutrema salsugineum. RNAcentral's name for it is "long non-coding RNA (ESAL_LNC001003)". Lineage: Eukaryota; Viridiplantae; Streptophyta; Magnoliopsida; Brassicales; Brassicaceae. The record is from RNAcentral.